Long non-coding RNA from Cloeon dipterum, 619 nucleotides. RefSeq lists it as uncharacterized. The record is from RefSeq and is a predicted model, not a curated record. The transcript is spliced from 3 exons. Lineage: Eukaryota; Metazoa; Arthropoda; Insecta; Ephemeroptera; Baetidae.
CGCUAUUCAGUCCAAGAACGUCCGUUACUGAGGAUCAUCAUGAUUUCGCGAGGCAAACUUAGGGUUUUCUACGCGCUUUUUAUCAUUACUGCCUUAAUCUCAGCUGCCUGCGUUGAAUCUGCAAGUGUUGGCGACGUUGAGACGGGCAUGGAUCGGUACCAAAGGGGUUGGUGGAGCAAAAUGUGGAGCGGAGCGAAAAAAGCUGCAAGAGUCGUUGUUCGUGUUGCUGACGCUGACGCUGACGCUGGACAAGAAGAGGAAGAAGGAGAAGAAAAGCAAGAAUAAGAGCAAACAUUUUGGGUCCUAGCAACCACAUCUUUGGAAGUUAAAUAAUCGCAACAAGUCGUUUCAUUUUGGAUUAUUUGAAUUAAUAACAAUAAUAAACGCAAUUGUGCGUGCAAAACUAUUACUACUAUCGUCCAUACCAAUUCUUAUAACUCUUUCCUGUUUCUCUUGAACAAAUUAUAUUCGUUGAACUUAUUAAAAUAUGAUACUUUUCACGCCGUUCUGCUCAAAAUGUACAUUUACAAAUAUCUUGGGUUGUAUAUCAUAUAAUUUAAUGUUUUUAUACGAAUGUAUAAUUUCAAUGUGAAAUAAUAAUAAAUUUUAUCGAACAAAU